UCAGCCACAAACUCCAUGGAUUUCUCCCCCUUAUUACCAAACCCCCUACCACUUCUCCAUCUUCUUCUUCCUCAUCCUCCUCUGCUCUGUUUCUCUCUCAAUUUUCUCUCCUACCAAACCGCCGCAAAAAUUCAACCAGAAUGAAAAACAGCAAGCAGAACGAACUGUGUGAUUUGUUUCAUAAUCCAUCUAAAGAUGAAAUUGAAGUAGUAGAAAUUCUACUCGAUCUCGAAAAUCUAGUGAGAGAAAGACAAUAUUGUUCGGUAAUUUGGGGUUCUAAAAAAAGGAGAUCUAAUCGACGCAUCGAUUCUUCUUCUUCUCCCGUCGUCAACUCAUCAAAUUCUAUUCAAGGAAGUUCGAAAAUCGAUGAAAACGAAAUUGAACCAAAAAUUAAAGCUGAAGUUACUAGCCCUGCUACUCCUCUUUCAUUUUCCCCAAGUGAAUCUGAUGAAAAAUCCAAACAUUCUUCUCGCAAAAGCUAUAAACGAAAGACGAGGGAGGAGUUAGUGGAUAAAAUAAAACAAUUAUCUCAGUGCAGAGAAUCGCUUACAGGGGAAGUGGAGAAUGUUCGUAAUUACUACAACAAACAAAAAGCUUAUAAUUUGAAGUUGAAAGCAAUGAAAGAAGAGGUAACAAGAAUGGUGAAUUUCCAAGGGGGUGGUGUUAAUUUAGGUCAACUUUACAGUAAUCCUGGAAUAGAGCCCAAUCGUCAACAGCCGUUCAUUAUGGAUCAGGUUGCUUCAAGAUCAGAAGCUUUCCAUAGAUUUCAGUACCCAUUGGGCCAGCUGCAACAGGCCCAACAUUUGUACUCAAAUGGGUUGGGCCCAGGCCCAAUGGGCCUUCCGGAUCUGAAUGUUACGGUGGACGAGGCUUUCACAUUGGACCCGUUCGAUAUCGAUAGAAUGAAUGUUGAAAGGAAGGCCCAAUAUGCUGAAGCUAGAAGGAAGAGGAGGAUUAAAAGAAUAGAAAUUAAGAAUUCAUCUGGUUUUAUUAGACCACCAAGGAGGAGAUAGUAGGUAUUUUUUGUAUUUUUGAUCCCUCCAUAGAAUGAUAGUAUUAUUUUUUUGAGCGAUACGGAAGGCCAAUCGAGCGAAGCUCUAUUUUUUUGCUUUCGUCAUGUCGCUAAGUGAAAUUGUAUCGUACAUUAGUUGAUGAGCUAUAAUGAUGUACGUAUACUUUUCAUUGAUCAUAUAAACAAAAUAUUC
Solanum stenotomum is the source of this 1205-nucleotide RNA transcript. RefSeq lists it as uncharacterized. The transcript has 4 exons. Lineage: Eukaryota; Viridiplantae; Streptophyta; Magnoliopsida; Solanales; Solanaceae. The record is from RefSeq and is a predicted model, not a curated record.